UGGGGGAUAUUGCACAAUGGGCGAAAGCCUGAUGCAGCGACGCCGCGUGGGGGAUGAAGGCUUUCGGGUUGUAAACCUCUUUCGCUAUCGAACAAGGCCCGCUUAGGGUGGGUUGAGGGUAGGUGGAGAAGAAGCGCCGGCUAACUACGUGCCAGCAGCCUCGGUAAUACGUAGGGCGCGAGCGUUGUUCGGACUUAUUGGGCGUAAAGGGCUUGUAGGCGGCUUGUUGCGCCUGCUGUGAAAACGCGGGGCGUAACUUCGCGCGUGAUGUGGGUACGGGCAGGCUUGAGUGUGGUAGGGGUGACUGGAAUUCCAGGUGUAGCGGUGGAAUGCGCAGAUAUCUGGAGGAACACCGAUGGCGAAGGCAGGUCACUGGGCCAUUACUGACGCUGAGGAGCGAAAGCAUGGGUAGCGAGCAGG
RNAcentral lists this ribosomal RNA (420 nucleotides) under bacterium. Its description in RNAcentral is "partial 16S ribosomal RNA". It matches the Rfam family "Bacterial small subunit ribosomal RNA", at positions 355 to 776 of the family's 1533-position model. The record is from RNAcentral.